RNAcentral lists this ribosomal RNA (361 nucleotides) under uncultured bacterium. RNAcentral's name for it is "partial 16S ribosomal RNA". It matches the Rfam family "Bacterial small subunit ribosomal RNA", at positions 338 to 696 of the family's 1533-position model. The record is from RNAcentral.
CCUACGGGAGGCAGCAGUGAGGAAUAUUGGUCAAUGGCCGUAAGGCUGAACCAGCCAAGUAGCGUGAGGGAAGACUGCCCUAUGGGUUGUAAACCUCUUUUAUGCGGGGAUAAAGGUGUCCACGUGAGGAUGUUUGCAGGUACCUCAUGAAUAAGGACCGGCUAAUUCCGUGCCAGCAGCCGCGGUAAUACGGAAGGUCCGAGCGUUAUCCGGAUUUAUUGGGUUUAAAGGGAGUGUAGGCCGGUCUUUAAGCGUGCCGUGAAAUUUUGGGGCUCAACCAUGAGCGUGCGGUGCGAAGUGGAGACCUUGAGAUCGCGGAAGGCAGGCGGAAUUCGGGGUGUAGCGGUGAAAUGCUUAGAUA